AGCGAACGCUGGCGGCAGGCUUAACACAUGCAAGUCGAGCGGGCCCUUCGGGGUCAGCGGCAGACGGGUGAGUAACACGUGGGAACGUACCCUUUGGUUCGGAAUAACGCUGGGAAACUAGCGCUAAUACCGGAUACGCCCUUUUGGGGAAAGGCUUGCUGCCGAAGGAUCGGCCCGCGUCUGAUUAGCUAGUUGGUGGGGUAAUGGCCUACCAAGGCGACGAUCAGUAGCUGGUCUGAGAGGAUGAUCAGACACACUGGGACUGAGACACGGCCCAGACUCCUACGGGAGGCAGCAGUGGGGAAUAUUGGACAAGGGGCGCAAGCCUGAUCCAGCCAUGCCGCGUGAGUGAUGAAGGCCUUAGGGUUGUAAAGCUCUUUUGUCCGGGACGAUAAUGACGGUACCGGAAGAAUAAGCCCCGGCUAACUUCGU
RNAcentral lists this ribosomal RNA (432 nucleotides) under uncultured bacterium. Its description in RNAcentral is "partial 16S ribosomal RNA". It matches the Rfam family "Bacterial small subunit ribosomal RNA", at positions 29 to 506 of the family's 1533-position model. The record is from RNAcentral.